CGCCACGGCAGCUACAAACUUCGCCACUUGUUCAAUGUUGAUCGGCGUGACUUGAUCUGGACACGAAGGGAAUAAACACAUAACGCAACAAACAAGAUGAGCAAUUUUGGCGAGCGUGAUUUCUCCUUUCCAACCACAAACUCCGCCCCUCGUGAGCUCCCGCCGUCAAGAGCUGGACGUCAGACCGCAGCGCACGGGCCCCAGGAUUGGGUGUCUCCACUUGACGCAAGUUUCCGGCGGCCAUCCGCGGAAACCAGCCCGCCCAUUGGCUGCCCCCCUUUUCCUUUGAUCUUGAGCCGCCCGACCUCCUAUUGGCUAGGGCCCUUCUCUCUUUCAACUUUUCGUCGUAACAUCAAUUCACUCGCCUCUUUGUGGUUGUCUAGUUUUUUUUAUUUUUAUUGAAAACUAAACGCAAACCAAAGGCUA
Molecule: long non-coding RNA, 426 nt
Organism: Daphnia magna
Lineage: Eukaryota; Metazoa; Arthropoda; Branchiopoda; Diplostraca; Daphniidae
Exons: 2
Source: RefSeq, a predicted model, not a curated record